RNAcentral lists this ribosomal RNA (462 nucleotides) under uncultured Pseudomonas sp. RNAcentral describes it as "bacterial SSU rRNA". It matches the Rfam family "Bacterial small subunit ribosomal RNA", at positions 923 to 1382 of the family's 1533-position model. Lineage: Bacteria; Pseudomonadati; Pseudomonadota; Gammaproteobacteria; Pseudomonadales; Pseudomonadaceae. The record is from RNAcentral.
CCACAAGACGGUGGAGCAUGUGGUUUAAUUUCGAAGCAACGCGAAGAACCUUACCAGGCCUUGACAUGCAGAGAACUUUCCAGAGAUGGAUUGGUGGCCUUCGGGAACUCUGACACAGGCGCUGCAUGGCUGUCGUCAGCUCGUGUCGUGAGAUGUUGGGUUAAGUCCGUAACGAGCGCAACCCUUGUCCUUAGUUACCAGCACGUUAUGGUGGGCACUCUAAGGAGACUGCCGGUGACAAACCGGAGGAAGGUGGGGAUGACGUCGAGUCAUCAUGGCCCCUACGGCCUGGGCUACACACGUGCUACAAUGGUCGGUACAAAGGGUUGCCAAGCCGCGAGGUGGAGCUAAUCCCAUAAAACCGAUCGUAGUCCGGAUCGCAGUCUGCAACUCGACUGCGUGAAGUCGGAAUCGCUAGUAAUCGUGAAUCAGAAUGUCACGGUGAAUACGUUCCCGGGCCUU